ACGAAUUAUUUAAUGUUUGAAAAAAUGUUCCAUACCUAAUUUUUUAAUUGAAAGGUAUUUUGAAAUUAAAUCUGCCUGAAAUAGUUCCUCUAUAAAAGUUAUACUUUUUACUUUGUUCAUUGAUUGUUCAUUUGCGUUCAAAACAAAUUGGUUGAAACCGUUUUACUUUUUUGUAUAACACACGUGUAUAAAUGUACCUUGAAUAGUUUUUCACCAGGGUUCCUGUUUUUUUUUAACAAACGUUUUUAUUUUUCACCUUCCACAACUACCUCAAUGGGAUGGAAAACUUCCCACCUGAAGAGACAAUCCCAGUCCCACAUUGAACAAGAAGAAGAAGAAGAAGAAAGAAAAAAGCAGAAUUGCAGCAAUGACAGUCAAUCGAGUCAAUUCAGUAAAGAAAAUGACAAUCAACCGGCCAAUCUUCACUUAGGUGAGAAAGAAACUUGAUGAAAUUUGGGUAUUAAAAAAAAUUGUUUUUCACACUCAUUUUAUUCAUUUACAUAACUUAUAUAAAUACACAUGUUAAAUCAUGGACGCGUGUAACAAAUGAUAAACAUUAUAUUACAAUAUAUACAAGCUCAGUCUUUAUACAUUUCAUAUUUUCUUUAUAUAAAUAAUAAUAAUAAUUAUAAGUAAAUAAUAAUAAAAUGUUGCAGAGUUCACAUUUUAUUUAAAUAAUAGUAAACAAUUUUCAUUAUUGUUUGAAUUUAGGCUAAAUAUUGCGUCAAAAAAUUGCAUAGGUUAGAAAACAAAAAAUUUGAUAUUUAGUUAAAAUAACAAUUUAAAAAGCGAUACAGGAAAAAAUACAAGAGUAUAAAAUAUUGCCACAUGUCUUAAUACACUAUUUUAGUAGUGAGAUAUGUUUUAUAAUUAAUUAACAAAAAUCAGUUUUGGAAUGUUAGAUAUGAUUAUAUAAAAUUAAUCGUAGGUGGGCAGUAUGAUUAAUAUGUUCUGCGUUACAAUUUAAUGUUAACAGUUUGCAUAGUGUUUGUACAAAAUCUUCUUUUGAUAUGCUCUUUGUACAACGGAUGGCAGUUUGAUAAAGUUUGGUCCUGUUGCACGAUCGAGAGGAAUCGACAAUAUUCGCCCGAUUUUUUGCAAACCCUUUACUUUUAUUCAAUCAUUACUUCAACCCUUUGCAAAUUGUGUAACGCACCUGUAACAAGUGCAAACCGGGAAAUUAAACUGUAAUUAACAUUGCCAAUUUUCUUUGUAUGCCGCAUGUGAUAUAACUUUUUUUUCCAUUUGUCACUUAAUGUAAAACAAUAAAUUGUCGAGACACUACUAAAUAUGAUAAAGAUUAAAAAUUAAUUGGAUUUAUAUUUUGGGAAUGUUUUCACAUUUUGUAAAAGGUCAAAACUGAAUAAAAUCAUUAGGUUAAGAAAAACAGUAAUAAAUGUAAUAAAAAAAAUUACUGUCUAUAAAGUACUGCCACAAUAUUAGUGUAGAGUAGCAUGAGCUUAGAUUAAAAAAAAAAAAAAAAAAAAAAAUCACUGAAAACCC
Long non-coding RNA from Cimex lectularius (bed bug), 1503 nucleotides. RefSeq lists it as uncharacterized. The transcript is spliced from 2 exons. The record is from RefSeq and is a predicted model, not a curated record. NCBI's taxonomy places the organism in Eukaryota, Metazoa, Arthropoda, Insecta, Hemiptera, Cimicidae.